UGUGCACCAGUGGGGUCCCUUGGCCUGGCCUGCGGGGAUCGGGCCGAAACCGGCAGUCCGACAUCCCCUUACACCAGGCCAGUUUUGGCCCGAUCCCUGCAGGCCAGGCCAAGGGACCCCACUGGUGCACA
RNAcentral lists this microRNA precursor (131 nucleotides) under Myotis lucifugus (little brown bat). RNAcentral describes it as "mir-9193 microRNA precursor family". The record is from Rfam by way of RNAcentral. Lineage: Eukaryota; Metazoa; Chordata; Mammalia; Chiroptera; Vespertilionidae.